This 466-nucleotide ribosomal RNA is filed under the name uncultured bacterium. Its description in RNAcentral is "partial 16S ribosomal RNA". It matches the Rfam family "Bacterial small subunit ribosomal RNA", at positions 28 to 507 of the family's 1533-position model. The record is from RNAcentral.
GAUGAACGCUGGCGGCGUGCUUAACACAUGCAAGUCGAACGAUGAAGCCCAGCUUGCUGGGUGGAUUAGUGGCGAACGGGUGAGUAACACGUGAGUAACCUGCCCUUAACUCUGGGAUAAGCCUGGGAAACUGGGUCUAAUACCGGAUAGGAGCGUCCACCGCAUGGUGGGUGUUGGAAAGAUUUAUCGGUUUUGGAUGGACUCGCGGCCUAUCAGCUUGUUGGUGAGGUAAUGGCUCAUCAAGGCGACGACGGGUAGCCGGCCUGAGAGGGUGACCGGCCACACUGGGACUGAGACACGGCCCAGACUCCUACGGGAGGCAGCAGUGGGGAAUAUUGCACAAUGGGCGCAAGCCUGAUGCAGCGACGCCGCGUGAGGGAUGACGGCCUUCGGGUUGUAAACCUCUUUCAGUAGGGAAGAAGCGAAAGUGACGGUACCUGCAGAAGAAGCACCGGCUAACUACGUG